UAGUCCACGCCGUAAACGAUGUCUACUAGCCGUUGGUUUCCUUGAGGAAGCAGUGGCGCAGCUAACGCGAUAAGUAGACCGCCUGGGGAGUACGGCCGCAAGGUUAAAACUCAAAUGAAUUGACGGGGGCCCGCACAAGCGGUGGAGCAUGUGGUUUAAUUCGAUGCAACGCGAAGAACCUUACCAGGUCUUGACAUCCUGAGAACUUUCUAGAGAUAGAUUGGUGCCUUCGGGAGCUCAGUGACAGGUGCUGCAUGGCUGUCGUCAGCUCGUGUCGUGAGAUGUUGGGUUAAGUCCCGUAACGAGCGCAACCCUUGUCCUUAGUUGCUAGCAGGUUAANCUGAGAACUCUAAGGAGACUGCCGGUGACAAACCGGAGGAAGGGUGGGGACGACGUCAAGUCAUCAUGGCCCUUACGACCUGGGGCUACACACGUGCUACAAUGGGGCAGUACAAAGGGGUCGCUAAGCCGCGAGGGUGGGAGCAAAUCCUACUAAAACUGUU
Molecule: ribosomal RNA, 503 nt
Filed under: uncultured bacterium
Lineage: Bacteria
Description: bacterial SSU rRNA
Rfam family: Bacterial small subunit ribosomal RNA
Source: RNAcentral